GAUGAACGCUGGCGGCGUGCCUAAUACAUGCAAGUCGAGCGAACAGACGAGGAGCUUGCUCCUCUGACGUUAGCGGCGGACGGGUGAGUAACACGUGGAUAACCUACCUAUAAGACUGGGAUAACUUCGGGAAACCGGAGCUAAUACCGGAUAAUAUAUUGAACCGCAUGGUUCAAUAGUGAAAGACGGUUUUGCUGUCACUUAUAGAUGGAUCCGCGCCGCAUUAGCUAGUUGGUAAGGUAACGGCUUACCAAGGCAACGAUGCGUAGCCGACCUGAGAGGGGGAUCGGCCACAGGGGAACUGGGACGCGCUCCAACCCCCUAGGGGAGGCAGCAGUGGGGAACUUUCGGGAGGGGGCGAAAGCCUGCAGGGGCAACGCGGGGGGAGUGAUAAGGGUCUUCGGAGCGUAAAACUAUGUUUUUGGGGAAGAACAAAUGUGUAAGUAUCUAGCCCCGUUUGAACGGUACCAAAAAAGAAAGCCACGGCAAACUCGGU
Molecule: ribosomal RNA, 496 nt
Filed under: uncultured bacterium
Lineage: Bacteria
Description: partial 16S ribosomal RNA
Rfam family: Bacterial small subunit ribosomal RNA
Source: RNAcentral